This 593-nucleotide ribosomal RNA is filed under the name uncultured bacterium. RNAcentral describes it as "bacterial SSU rRNA". It matches the Rfam family "Bacterial small subunit ribosomal RNA", at positions 338 to 920 of the family's 1533-position model. The record is from RNAcentral.
CCUACGGGAGGCAGCAGUAGGGAAUCUUCCACAAUGGACGAAAGUCUGAUGGAGCAACGCCGCGUGAGUGAUGAAGGUUUUCGGAUCGUAAAACUCUGUUGUAAGGGAAGAACAAGUACGAGAGGGAAUGCUCGUACCUUGACGGUACCUUGCGAGAAAGCCACGGCUAACUACGUGCCAGCAGCCGCGGUAAUACGUAGGUGGCAAGCGUUGUCCGGAAUUAUUGGGCGUAAAGCGCGCGCAGGCGGCCUUUUAAGUCUGAUGUGAAAGCCCCCGGCUCAACCGGGGAGGGUCAUUGGAAACUGGAAGGCUUGAGUACAGAAGAGAAGAGUGGAAUUCCAUGUGUAGCGGUGAAAUGCGUAGAGAUGUGGAGGAACACCAGUGGCGAAGGCGACUCUUUGGUCUGUAACUGACGCUGAGGCGCGAAAGCGUGGGGAGCAAACAGGAUUAGAUACCCUGGUAGUCCACGCCGUAAACGAUGAGUGCUAGGUGUUGGGGGGUUUCCGCCCCGUCCAGUGCUGAAGCUAACGCAUUAAGCACUCCGCCUGGGGAGUACGGCCGCAAGGCUGAAACUCAAAAGGAAAGUUAGACGG